Molecule: small nuclear RNA, 107 nt
Organism: Lemur catta (Ring-tailed lemur)
Lineage: Eukaryota; Metazoa; Chordata; Mammalia; Primates; Lemuridae
Source: RefSeq, a predicted model, not a curated record
GUGCUCACUUUGGCAGCAUAUAUACUAAAACUGGAAAGAUACAGAAAUGACUAGUAUGGCCCCUGCCCAAGGAUGACAUGCAAAUUCAUGAAUUGGCCCAUUAAAAA